UUGGCCACUCCGCUCCAGUAUCUGGUCUUGAGAUGCACCAAUGAGAUUUUGCAUUGCUGGAGAGUCGCCUUGCCAUGUGGCUGGUGGCUUGCUGGCGUCUUUACAUGCUGCUGGUCAUGGCGGCGGCUGCAGUAUCUCUGGUCAUGGCGGCGGCUGCCGCCAGGCCCUUUCUUAUGCCCUGAAGAAAACCUACCAAAUGAAGGCUUUUAAAAUCAAUAGUGAUGCUGAGGGGGAGAUAUAGAAAGAAGGUCCCGAGAAGGAGAGGCCCAGUUGUCUCACAUCGACUGGAAUAACAUUAAGAGCGGCCACGAACAACCUGGAGAACGCGGAGAGAUCACCAGGCUGGCAGCAGGAACUGUGAGGCUUUAUUGGAAGAUGAGAAAGGCCAGCCUCAGGGAAAGCAAGUGGGGAGUACGGGAUUUCAGGACAACCGCCUUCUGGCUGUGCCCCACACAGUUCCUGUUCCCCAAGGCACUCACUGUUUCUUGUUUGUAGUAUGCUCUUCCAGGGAUGUUGUGUGUGUCUAAAAACAAACGAAGUAAAAUCCUUCUACUGUUGUCCCGCCACUUCGAUAUUCUGCCCAAGUGCAUGUGGCCAACCAAGCAUCAUCGACUGAGCUCUUGGGAACCAUGAGGGAAAAAGCACCGUUCCUCCCAUGACUUGCUUUUGCUAGAUAGUUUUGAUGGUGAGCUGAGAAAAGUAGCUAACACAAUGUCUUACCAAUGUCUUCAACACAUUAAAAUACCCAUUCUUUAAUUA
Non-coding RNA from Peromyscus maniculatus bairdii (prairie deer mouse), 759 nucleotides. NCBI's taxonomy places the organism in Eukaryota, Metazoa, Chordata, Mammalia, Rodentia, Cricetidae. The record is from RefSeq and is a predicted model, not a curated record.